ACAUCGGUUGUUUUAACAACCAUAGAACAUUUAUUUUUAAGCGUGU
Non-coding RNA from Zootermopsis nevadensis, 46 nucleotides. NCBI's taxonomy places the organism in Eukaryota, Metazoa, Arthropoda, Insecta, Blattodea, Termopsidae. The record is from Rfam.